Molecule: long non-coding RNA, 438 nt
Filed under: Phasianus colchicus (ring-necked pheasant)
Lineage: Eukaryota; Metazoa; Chordata; Aves; Galliformes; Phasianidae
Description: lncRNA (ENSPCLG00000013250.1)
Source: RNAcentral
CCCUCGUCUGCUGAGAUGGGGAAAUGUUCCAGCUUCUAGAAAGACAUCAGGACAAAGAUAUGUAAUAAAAAUAAGUCCAGGCUGGCUGUCCUUGUGGGCAUCAGCUGCUGGCAUCUGCAUUGCUGCUGCCAUGAGCAUGGCAAAGCAGGUGAAAGAUUGCUUUUCCUUGACUGACACUGGUUCUGUUGACUUGAAAGCUAGAGGGAUGCAAUAGAAAGAGCUGCAACCUCUGCCAGACAUGGCAAAGAAAAAGAGGAGAGUGUGCCCUAAUCUUGGACCCCUCCUGCCCUCUUCUGCUGAGAUGGAGAAAUGUUCCAGCUUCUAGAAGGACAUCAGGACAAAGAUAUGUAAUGAAAAUAAGUCCAGGCUGGGUGUCCUUGUGGGCAUCAGCUGCUGGCAUCUGCAUUGCUGCUUCCAUGAGUAUGGCACAGCAGGUAA